Molecule: ribosomal RNA, 466 nt
Filed under: Salmonella enterica subsp. enterica serovar Agona
Lineage: Bacteria; Pseudomonadati; Pseudomonadota; Gammaproteobacteria; Enterobacterales; Enterobacteriaceae
Description: partial 23S ribosomal RNA
Rfam family: Bacterial large subunit ribosomal RNA
Source: RNAcentral
CUGGAGGUAUCAGAAGUGCGAAUGCUGACAUAAGUAACGAUAAAGCGGGUGAAAAGCCCGCUCGCCGGAAGACCAAGGGUUCCUGUCCAACGUUAAUCGGGGCAGGGUGAGUCGACCCCUAAGGCGAGGCCGAAAGGCGUAGUCGAUGGGAAACGGGUUAAUAUUCCCGUACUUGGUGUUACUGCGAAGGGGGGACGGAGAAGGCUAUGUUGGCCGGGCGACGGUUGUCCCGGUUUAAGCGUGUAGGUGUGUGUUCCAGGUAAAUCCGGUUCACUUUAACACUGAGGCGUGACGACGAGGCACUACGGUGCUGAAGCAACAAAUGCCCUGCUUCCAGGAAAAGCCUCUAAGCAUCAGGUAACAUCAAAUCGUACCCCAAACCGACACAGGUGGUCAGGUAGAGAAUACCAAGGCGCUUGAGAGAACUCGGGUGAAGGAACUAGGCAAAAUGGUGCCGUAACUUCGG